GGGGCCGUCGGCUAGUGGGAGGCUGCCGGGUUCGGGUCCCGGUGACCGGGGUUCGAAUCCCCGCGGCCCCA
This 71-nucleotide transfer RNA is filed under the name Candidatus Nanopusillus sp. RNAcentral's name for it is "tRNA-Pro". It matches the Rfam family "tRNA". Rfam says of the family: Transfer RNA (tRNA) molecules are approximately 80 nucleotides in length. Their secondary structure includes four short double-helical elements and three loops (D, anti-codon, and T loops). Lineage: Archaea; Nanobdellati; Nanobdellota; Candidatus Nanoarchaeia; Nanoarchaeales; Nanopusillaceae. The record is from RNAcentral.